GGCCUCGUAGCUCAGCUGGUAGAGCGCGCGCUGUACAAAAAACGUAGGCGGCGUCCGUGCGUGAGUUCGAUUCCUACCGAGGCUA
RNAcentral lists this transfer RNA (85 nucleotides) under Echinostoma caproni. It matches the Rfam family "tRNA". Rfam says of the family: Transfer RNA (tRNA) molecules are approximately 80 nucleotides in length. Their secondary structure includes four short double-helical elements and three loops (D, anti-codon, and T loops). Further hydrogen bonds mediate the characteristic L-shaped molecular structure. tRNAs have two regions of fundamental functional importance: the anti-codon, which is responsible for specific mRNA codon recognition, and the 3' end, to which the tRNAs corresponding amino acid is attached (by aminoacyl-tRNA synthetases). tRNAs cope with the degeneracy of the genetic code in two manners: having more than one tRNA (with a specific anti-codon) for a particular amino acid; and 'wobble' base-pairing, i.e. permitting non-standard base-pairing at the 3rd anti-codon position. Lineage: Eukaryota; Metazoa; Platyhelminthes; Trematoda; Plagiorchiida; Echinostomatidae. The record is from Rfam by way of RNAcentral.